GGGCCCGCACAAGCGGUGGAGCAUGUGGUUUAAUUCGACGCAACGCGAAGAACCUUACCAGCUCUUGACAUUGCUAAGUCGCGAGUUUUAGAGAUAAAACUCUUCAGUUCGGCUGGACUUAGUACAGGUGCUGCAUGGCUGUCGUCAGCUCGUGUCGUGAGAUGUUGGGUUAAGUCCCGCAACGAGCGCAACCUUGUCCUUAGUUGCCAGCAAUUCGGUUGGGCACUCUAGGGAGACUGCCGGUGAUAAACCGGAGGAAGGCGGGGGAUGACGUCAAGUCCUCAUGGCCCUUACGGGCUGGGCUACACACGUGCUACAAUGGCGUCCACAAUGGGUGCAAUAGGGCAACCUA
RNAcentral lists this ribosomal RNA (352 nucleotides) under uncultured bacterium. Its description in RNAcentral is "bacterial SSU rRNA". It matches the Rfam family "Bacterial small subunit ribosomal RNA", at positions 917 to 1264 of the family's 1533-position model. The record is from RNAcentral.